RNAcentral lists this long non-coding RNA (2985 nucleotides) under Homo sapiens (human). Its description in RNAcentral is "HSALNT0155427". The stretch from base 2422 to 2791 matches the Rfam family "ncRNA Repressor of NFAT (nuclear factor of activated T cells)". The record is from RNAcentral. Lineage: Eukaryota; Metazoa; Chordata; Mammalia; Primates; Hominidae.
UAGGCCCUGGGAGGUAUCCAGGGACAUGGGAGCCAUGGUCCCACCUGCAAAAAGAAAAGACUGUGGCUGGGGAGAAGAGGCCCGAGCAAUGAAAUAGUAAUUCAAGAGUCUAGACAGUGGCCCAAGAGAUGUCACAAAGCCAAGGAUGGGCAACGGAGGCUCCGGGAGUCAGAGAGGUAGGAAAUGGGAUUUGACUUGCAUGGCUGGGAGGGGCUUUCCAGGGAGGCCCGCGUGAAGGCUUUGUUCCUGGAAUUUUCACUCCUGUAAUUAUUUAGGACUAUGGCAGUUACUACUCACUGGGCACUUGCACCAUUCCUCAUGUUCAUACACAUCUCUAAUGUAAACAACCCAGCAAGGGAAGUAGUACCCUAUAUGUGGGGGAAAAGUGGUUCAGAGAGGUUAAGUAACUCACCCAAAGUCACACAGCUGAAGAAAAUGGCUGGGCUAGGAUGUGCGUUCAUGCUCUUUCCACCAUGCCAUGUUGCUUUACUGAGAUGACACAGGGCACAAAGUAAGUGCAAACACAGACCUGUUCAUUUUCCAUUCAGGAAGCCCAUUUGCCACGACCAAUGCAACUCCAACCUACCAGGCUGACUGUAGAAUGGGUUUUCCUCAUGGGCAACACAUACACACAUGCAUGCAUGCGCGUGCAUGCGUGCACACACACACACACACACACACACACACACAAAACCAAAUCACUGUGCAUUGGACAAGGGGAAAAAAAAGCUGCCACUGGAAGAUGAAGGAAAUCACAAUUCCAAACUCCCCAAGUUCCUAAAUGCAUAAAGUACGUGCAGCUUGACGGCAUAUGGCAAAUCAAUUACUAGUUUAAAUCUUAAAACAAAAACAUGGCAAGUGUGGUGCAGAAAUAAUCAAGAACAACGGUUAGGUUUAGAUUACAGUGGGCCACUAGAGUUUUGAAUACAAUUAAUCAUCAUUCCAGGCAAUGGGAAGCCAUAUUGACACUUAUUCCUAAUUUGAAUAUUUAAUUAGGGUGAAGUUCUUCAUCAAAUUAUCGCAGAACUGGGAGAAAGCCUGGAAGACUUACACAAUUACUAUCUUAACCCCUUCCCAGCUGCUCACCUGUGAACACAGCCAUUCUAGUCCCAGCUCCGCAGGGGAGGUUGCCUGUGCCCAGUCUCUGAUGCUGUGGGGUGCUGGAGGGGUGCUGGUGACUGGAGUUGCAACUGCAGCAGGCGGGAGCCACGUGGUGGCAAAGGAAAGGUCUAAGGGGAUGCCCUGCUCAUGCUUAGGCUAAGUUCUGCAUUGAACCCUGGACACAGACAGAAAGCCAGCAUGCAUGGGUGCUCACUGGGCACCAGGGUGGUGCUUUCUGUGUCCCCCCCCAAUUUAAUUCUCAUGACAAAUCCUGCAAAGGAGGCAUUUCUAUCCCCAUUUCACAGAGGAAGAAACAGGCUCAGAGAGUGAUAAAACUCACUCAAAGUAACACCGCCUGUGAGUGGUGUAAAGAAGGCCCAAGGGACACACACACACACACACACACACACACACACACACACACACACACAGAGUUACUCACCAAAAGUGAUGACAAAGAGAACACGCAAAGGCCCACAAAAAUGUUUUCAAGGCUGUAUUUUGGAUCAUCUGCACCGUGUGGCUAAAUCAAAGGAAAACCAAAACCCAGGCCUCUUCAAUCAGCAUUCUAAAAUUUAACUCUUGGGUUCAAAAUGCAUUACUGAGCCCCCCCCCACAAUGGAAGUCACGAUGCCGUUGUGGCCAGGGGCUCAGCAGAAUGGUGGAGGUGGGGGCAGCAAAGCUCAAGGAACAGUCCCACAAGGCCGAUUUGAGGCAAGGUGACAAGGUGGCCAUCCAAACCCCGCAGAGUAGGACUCGAGAAGGUGGGCGCUGCGGGACAGGUGUCCUUGGGGAGGGGAAUGUUUGCAACAGGACAAAAAAAUGUGAACUCUUUCUUCUUUCAAGAUGGCCAAGGCUCAAUGAUAGCAUUUAGAACUAUACAUCAGCUUGGUGAUUACGUUCCUUAAUGUACGCCUUUGCUAUCUGAAAAGACUUUUACUAACAUUUCAUAGAUACUAUGUGAUUCUACGUGACCAAAAACAACACAUUUUGCCACAUAAUCUCCCCGAAGGACUCAGGACACGGCCAAGGGCUGAGUGCACACAUGGGACUGGACCACGGUAGGUCCAGAGACCUUUCUGCUUCCAGCCUCCACCGAGAAGCCGAAAAGGAGGGACAUCCUGAUAGUUUCAGGUUAGCCAUCUCUCCUUAAAAGCCUGUGACGGGUUCACUUACCCUCUUGUGGAAAAGGCUCCAUUUGCAGUGGCCACUUUCAGCAGGAAGUGGAUCGCCAGGCAGAAGGAGGGAGCCGCCCCAGCCCCCUGCCUGGGCCCACUGCAGGCACAGACCCCGGAUCCGGAUCCAUCAGGCCUGCGUGGGGGGAGCGAAUGGCAUCGGGAACUUUGAAACUUUCCUUUGUAUAUUACAUUAAUCCAUAUAAGAAAAUCUCUUUUAAUGAGGAGUGAUGUAGUUACAAACUCUCCAGAGCCAUAAUUAGAGCAAACUAAUUGAAGUUGUGUUUUGACACACUUUCCAAAUUCACGGGUGCCGGAUGACAUAUUCACAACACUGCUGCCGCACAACCAUGGCGACGGCAAAAUCAUUAGGCUAAUAACGCUUAUUUGCAUUCUUAUCAUGCCGGCAGCUCGCCCUUAAAUACUGUUUCCACUACUGCUCCUUUACUGUAAGUUUCCACCGAAAGAUAUUAACAGUAAUUAUUAGUACUUUAGUGGAAUUUUAAUGUUAAAGAAUAACAAUGUGCAUUAACAUACAUUGAAUGGCAAUUCUUUUUCUUAACCACCCAUCGGAAGGUUUGGGGGUUCUUCCUUGGCCCUCUCCCCAGAGCUCAAGGGUAACCAGAUGCGAUUUCAGCUUCAUUUACAAUUCAGGGUCCACACCCAGUGGGAUCUGAAGUCAGGUUUCUGAACCAUUCUGCUCCAAAAG